UACCAAGUUGAUAUACCAGACCCGAAGGU
This 29-nucleotide non-coding RNA is filed under the name Mus musculus (house mouse). Lineage: Eukaryota; Metazoa; Chordata; Mammalia; Rodentia; Muridae. The record is from RNAcentral.